ACGGGACCCGCACAAGCGGUGGAUGAUGUGGUUUAAUUCGAUGCAACGCGAAAACCUUACCCACCUUUGACAUGUACGGAAUCCUUUAGAGAUAGAGGAGUGCUCGAAAGAGAGCCGUAACACAGGUGCUGCAUGGCUGUCGUCAGCUCGUGUCGUGAGAUGUUGGUUAAGUCCCGCAACGAGCGCAACCCUUGUCAUUAGUUGCUACAUUCAGUUGGGCACUCUAAUGAGACUGCCGGUGACAAACCGGAGGAAGGUGGGGAUGACGUCAAGUCCUCAUGGCCCUUAUAGGUGGGGCUACACACGUCAUACAAUGGAUGGUACAAAGGGUCGCCAACCCGCGAGGGGGAGCCAAUCCCAUAAAGCCAUUCGUAGUCCGGAUCGCAGUCUGCAACUCGACUGCGUGAAGUCGGAAUCGCUAGUAAUCGUGGAUCAGAAUGUCACGGUGAAUACGUUCCCGGGUCUU
This 466-nucleotide ribosomal RNA is filed under the name uncultured Acidovorax sp. RNAcentral describes it as "bacterial SSU rRNA". It matches the Rfam family "Bacterial small subunit ribosomal RNA", at positions 916 to 1381 of the family's 1533-position model. Lineage: Bacteria; Pseudomonadati; Pseudomonadota; Betaproteobacteria; Burkholderiales; Comamonadaceae. The record is from RNAcentral.